AUUGAACGCUGGCGGCAUGCCUUACACAUGCAAGUCGAACGGUAACAGGUCUUCGGAUGCUGACGAGUGGCGAACGGGUGAGUAAUACAUCGGAACGUGCCCAGACGUGGGGGAUAACGAGGCGAAAGCUUUGCUAAUACCGCACACGAUCUAAGGAUGAGAGCCGGGGACCGCAAGGCCAUGUGCGGUUGGAGCGGCCGAUGGCAGAUUAGGUAGUUGGUGGGAUAAAAGCUUACCAAGCCGACGAUCUGUAGCUGGUCUGAGAGGAAGAGGGGCCACACUGGAACUGAGACAUGGCCCAGACUCCUGCGGGAGGCAGCAGUGGGGAAUGUUGGACAAUGGGCGAAAGCCUGAUCCAGCAAUGCCGCGUGCAGGAUGAAGGCCUUCGGGUUGUAAACUGCUUUUGUACGGAACGAAAAGGCUCUGGCUAAUACCUGGGGCACAUGACGGUACCGGAAGAAUAAGCACCGGCUAACUACGUG
RNAcentral lists this ribosomal RNA (482 nucleotides) under uncultured bacterium. Its description in RNAcentral is "partial 16S ribosomal RNA". It matches the Rfam family "Bacterial small subunit ribosomal RNA", at positions 29 to 507 of the family's 1533-position model. The record is from RNAcentral.